RNAcentral lists this non-coding RNA (46 nucleotides) under Schistosoma haematobium. The record is from RNAcentral. Lineage: Eukaryota; Metazoa; Platyhelminthes; Trematoda; Strigeidida; Schistosomatidae.
GCAUUACUGAGGAGUCCCACAAUAGGACGAAGUGGCCGUCCAGUGC